AGCGGCAAGGUCUGGAGUGAAGUUUUCAAAGUAAUCUUGACUCCAGACCUUGUUGCUGA
Molecule: microRNA precursor, 59 nt
Filed under: Blattella germanica (German cockroach)
Lineage: Eukaryota; Metazoa; Arthropoda; Insecta; Blattodea; Blattellidae
Description: Bge-Novel-14_pre stem-loop
Source: RNAcentral